CAGAGGUGGAGGACGCGGCUGGGGCGAGCGGUAGGGGGUGGGCGGUGUGCGGAAUUGCUUGGCGUGAGAGGUGCGGUGGGGGUUUGUCAGGUCGUCGGUGAAAGUCCGGGUGUGAACUCCGGGCGUGCAGGCGAUACGGGCAUAACUUGAGUACUGUAUGGGAGACUGGAAUUCCUGGUGGAGCGGUGAGAUGCGCAGAUAUCAGGAGGAACACCGGUGGCGAAGGCGGGUCUCUGGGCAGUAACUGACGCUGAGGAGCGAAAGCAUGGGUAGCGAACAGGAUUAGAUACCCGGGUAGUC
This 300-nucleotide ribosomal RNA is filed under the name uncultured Lactobacillus sp. RNAcentral's name for it is "bacterial SSU rRNA". The stretch from base 51 to 300 matches the Rfam family "Bacterial small subunit ribosomal RNA", at positions 547 to 795 of the family's 1533-position model. Lineage: Bacteria; Bacillati; Bacillota; Bacilli; Lactobacillales; Lactobacillaceae. The record is from RNAcentral.